RNAcentral lists this ribosomal RNA (312 nucleotides) under bacterium. Its description in RNAcentral is "partial 23S ribosomal RNA". It matches the Rfam family "Bacterial large subunit ribosomal RNA", at positions 2601 to 2925 of the family's 2925-position model. The record is from RNAcentral.
CGAGCUGGGUUCAGACCGGCGUGAGCCAGGUCGGUCCCUAUCUGCUGUGGGCGCAGGAAUCUUGAGGAGCUAUUUCUUUAGUACGAGAGGAUUAAGAAGUACUGACCGCUGGUGUACCGGCUGUCCCGCUAGGGGCACCGCCGGGUAGCUAUGUCGGGAAAGGAUAACCGCUGAAAGCAUCUAAGCGGGAAGCCAACUCCAAGAUAAGGAAUCGUUGAGGGCCGUGGGAGAUGACCACGUUGAUAGGCGCUAGGUGGAAGGCGAGCAAUCGCUUGAGCCGAGGCGUACUAAUACCCCGACAGAACUCUCGAA